Molecule: ribosomal RNA, 113 nt
Filed under: Caerostris darwini
Lineage: Eukaryota; Metazoa; Arthropoda; Arachnida; Araneae; Araneidae
Source: RNAcentral
AACGGCCAUACCAUGCUGAAUAUACCGGUUCUCGUUAGAUCACCGAAGUCAAGCAUUAUUGGGCGCGGUCAGUACUUGGGUGGGUGAACCACCUGGGAACACCGCGUGCCGUU